UCUCGGGAUCAAAUCGUGCGCAACUAAACCCUUUGUACAUUGUCACAAAUCCCUAAUCCUGUUCUCCCCCUUCUACCUAAUCGUUCUCUCACAUGCAACCAAACCCAAACCCAAGAGGUGAUGUAAUGGGAUAGUGAAAGUGGGUAGCCACCUUCUACACGGCGUCGACCUACAACACUGUGAGGAAGCCGUUCUGCUUGACGAUCGCCUCUACAAAGACGAGGUUGUUGGUCUUGAUGACCUCCGUGCAGAUGUUAUGGACAAGGCGGAUCCCAUUCUCUUCAGAGUCUACGAUGAUGAUCGCUCGUGUUGACUUGGAGGGUUUGAGGCGCUUGUAAGGUCAGGCUAUUGCAGCUUCGACAUUAACUCGAUGAAUCAAAGCCUACCAUUAAAGUGAAAUCCCGUGAGACAAAGUAAAAUAUAAAUUUUUAUUUGUAAAGAAAAGAAGCACACCAUUGUUAGUUUGAGAAACAUAGCAACAGAGUUCAAUGGGGAAGAGAAUGUUUCAUGGGGUGGCGUUGAUGCUGUUGUUUUUGUGGGUUUGUGGUGUCACUACCUUUGUGACUUAUGACCACAGAGCCAUUAUAGUUGAUGGCAAGAGAAGAAUUUUGAUCUCUGGCUCCAUUCACUACCCAAGAAGCACACCCCAAAUGUGGCCAGACCUUAUUCAAAAGGCCAAAGAUGGAGGCCUUGAUGUUAUUCAGACUUAUGUGUUCUAGAAUGGACAUAAACCUUAUCCUGGAAAAGUAAUGCAAAUACAUUUCAAUAAUUUUUAUUUUUAUUGGCUUUUCUAGCUAGUCUCGUGUAUCCUAAUAAACCAUGGUUCUAAUUCUUGUCGGGAGAUGUUUAGUUUAAUGUAUGGUCGGAAUAGUUAUGCCCUUUUAAGGACCAUGCUUGUGAAAAAAAGAAUAUGUCUAAUCUUUGUUUUUUUGUUUACAAAUAAAAAGUUUAAAGUGAAAAUUUCUCAUUGAGUUUUUAUGUAAUGUUGAAAAUUUUCAAUACUAUUUUGAAGAUAGGUAUGACUUGGUUAAGUUCGUGAAGCUGGUGCAGCAAGCAGGCCUUUAUGUUCAUCUCUGUAUUGGUCCCUUCAUAUGUGCUGAAUGGAACUUUGGGCAAUGAUUUUAACGAUGUAAAUGUACACCUUCUCUAGGGAAGGGGAAAAUUCUUUGGUAUCAAAAGGAAAAUAAUGAUUCUUAGGGAUCUCUCAAAGGUCACAUGAUCUAUUUUAUGUUCAGGGGAUUUCCUGUUUGGCUCAAGUAUGUUCCAAACAUUGCUUUCUGAACUGACAACGAGCCUUUCAAGGCGGAAAUGCAAAAUUUCACAACUAAGAUUGUUAACUUGAUGAAAGCAGAGAGGUUGUUUCAAUCCCAGGGUGGUCCAAUAAUUAUAUCACAGAAAGAGAACGAGUAUGGACCAGAUGAACGUCAAUUUGGUGCACCUGGAAAAAUUGAUAUUAAAGUGAAGUUUUCUGAUGAUUUUGCAAUUUUGCUCUUUCAUUAUGAUGGUCGGACUAGUGAAUGGGAUCAAUUUGAGUGGUCAAGGAAUGCAAUCCAUAUUAGUGCAAGGAAACAAGCAAAAUGGUGGUAUGCUAAAAGAUUUUUGCACCCUGAUAUAGUUUCAGCCUAUGAAUAUAUUUUUAUUUGGGACGAAGAUCUUGGAAUAGAACACUUAAUGGAAACAAGUAUAUUAAUUUAGUGAAAAAACAUGGUUUGGAGAUCUCUCAACCUGGUCUUGAGCCCAAUAAUGGAUUGACAUGGGAGAUGACAAAAAGGAGGGGUGACAAAGAAGUUCACAUGAUUACAGAAGAGAAACCAGGCUGGUGUAGCGAUCCACAUUUGCCUCCUUGUGCUGCGUAUGCUCUCUAUUCCUUUGUUCAAAGUUGAAUUGUUGUAUUGCAUAUGAUUCAGAAUGAUCUAGUACAUGGAUGAGGAUUGGACUUUGCUUUCAGAAGAUGUGUAGAGGUCAGUAAAUUCUGUUUAUUUUUUCCUAAUGUUGUGAGCUUGAACUUUGAAUCCUUUUUGUUAGCCUUAUUGAUA
Non-coding RNA from Cajanus cajan (pigeon pea), 2036 nucleotides. NCBI's taxonomy places the organism in Eukaryota, Viridiplantae, Streptophyta, Magnoliopsida, Fabales, Fabaceae. The record is from RefSeq and is a predicted model, not a curated record.